Molecule: ribosomal RNA, 492 nt
Filed under: uncultured bacterium
Lineage: Bacteria
Description: partial 16S ribosomal RNA
Rfam family: Bacterial small subunit ribosomal RNA
Source: RNAcentral
AGUGAACGCUGGCGGUAGGCCUAACACAUGCAAGUCGAACGGCAGCACAGUAAGAGCUUGCUCUUACGGGUGGCGAGUGGCGGACGGGUGAGGAGUACAUCGGAAUCUACUUUUUCGUGGGGGAUAACGUAGGGAAACUUACGCUAAUACCGCAUACGACCUACGGGUGAAAGCAGGGGAUCUUCGGACCUUGCGCGAUUGAAUGAGCCGAUGUCGGAUUAGCUAGUUGGCGGGGUAAAGGCCCACCAAGGCGACGAUCCGUAGCUGGUCUGAGAGGAUGAUCAGCCAAACUGGAACUGAGACAAGGUCCAGACUCCUAAGGGAGGCAGCAGUGGGGAAUAUUGGACAAUGGGGGCAAGCCUGAUCCAGCCAUACCGCGUGGAUGGAGAAGGCUUUCGGGUUGUAAAGCCAUUUUGUUGGGAAAGAAAAGCAGCAGGUUAAUACCCCGCUGUUCUGACGGUACCCAAAGAAUAAGCACCGGCUAAAUUCGUG